This 644-nucleotide ribosomal RNA is filed under the name Pantanalinema sp. WUC1601. RNAcentral's name for it is "bacterial SSU rRNA". It matches the Rfam family "Bacterial small subunit ribosomal RNA", at positions 202 to 862 of the family's 1533-position model. Lineage: Bacteria; Bacillati; Cyanobacteriota; Cyanophyceae; Leptolyngbyales; Leptolyngbyaceae. The record is from RNAcentral.
AAUAUUUAUAGCCUGAAGAUGAGCUCGCGUCAGAUUAGCUAGUUGGUAAGGUAACGGCUUACCAAGGCGACGAUCUGUAGCUGGUCUGAGAGGAUGAUCAGCCACACUGGGACUGAGACACGGCCCAGACUCCUACGGGAGGCAGCAGUGGGGAAUUCUCCGCAAUGGGCGAAAGCCUGACGGAGCAAUACCGCGUGAGGGAGGAAGGCUCUUGGGUUGUAAACCUCUUUUGAUCGGGAAGAAGACAGUGACGGUACCGAUCGAAUCAGCAUCGGCUAACUCCGUGCCAGCAGCCGCGGUAAUACGGAGGAUGCAAGCGUUAUCCGGAUUUAUUGGGCGUAAAGCGUCCGCAGGUGGUUGAGCAAGUCUGCUGUCAAAGCGCGGAGCUUAACUCCGUAAAGGCAGUGGAAACUGUUUAACCUUGAGUACCGGUAGGGGUAGCGGGAAUUCCCAGUGUAGCGGUGAAAUGCGUAGAUAUUGGGAAGAACACCAGCGGCGAAAGCGCGCUACUGGGCCUGUACUGACACUGAGGGACGAAAGCUAGGGGAGCGAAAGGGAUUAGAUACCCCUGUAGUCCUAGCUGUAAACGAUGGGUACUAGGUGUUGGCCGUAUCGACCCGGUCAGUGCCGUAGCUAACGCGUUA